CCGCAGACAGCAUGUGCUCAGCUGUCCUCGGAGAACCCUACCUGCCCAGCUGGGGUCCCCACUCCCAGAGCCCUCCCUCCAGCAGGGCCUGCCAGCUGCCUGAAGACGGGCCUUUGGAGACAGGCCCAGGGGUGCUGGGGGCCCGUGCAGGGGCUCCAGUUACAGGAUGACUCGCUCUUUCCCUGGUUGAGCUGCAGCGGCAGGUGGAGGCUCUGCAAAAGCAGGGCUCGGUGCCAGAACCCAGCCAGCCCGUAGCUGGAGGUCACCAGGAUGCGGCCCCCAGUCUCGGCUCACCUCAGCUCUGCCCUGCUUGGGAGGGACCUCCAGGAAGCCUCCACCUGAUUUCCAGGCUCCAAGCGAGCAUGUCUCCAACUGCCCUCCUUUCUUUGAUGCCCCUGUGCCAACCGUGACAUUCACACAGGGACCACUGUCCCCAGAGCCCAUAAAGCCCCGAGUCCAGGGCUGUCACUUGGCAGCAAGUGCUGAAGGAACAAAUGAAUCCGAAGCCCGAGCAUGUGGGGGCGUUUAAUGGGUCUCCUGGACUUUCUGUGGUCCAGGGCUCCUACUGACUGUCUCUUGGGGCUCCCGUUGGGGGCUUCUGCCUGGUCAUCUGGUCGACCCCACCCCAGUAUACUAGGCUAUUUCUAGGGACUGUGUAACAUAGUGAUUUCGGUGGUGGAUGAAGAGGGCAGUUAAUAUAUAAACACAAGAGUGCUCCUCUUUUACAAAGUAUUAAGACUAUGGUGAUGCACAGGAAAAUUACAACUAAUGUAACUUAAGGAUGAUAGUUAACAGUAAUAUUGUAAUCCUGGCAGCAAAGACAAGAAAAUAUUUUUUCAAUUCUAAGGGACAAAAAUAGGGGGUGAAAGGGGUAUGGGAUUUUUUCUUUUGGAGCAAUGAAAACAUUCUAAAAUUGAGGUGAUGACAGCAUAACUCUGUGAUGAAAAUGGGAGCCACUGAGUAUGUACUUUGAAUGGAUGGCACAAAGCGUGGGCUGUAUAAUGCAGGGAGUCCAAUGGAGGAUGAUGGACUGGGAUAGCAGGACAAAUAUGAGAAUGUUUUCCUUUGAAAGAUAACAAGUACAAAGUACAAAUACAGUGUGUUCAUGACUGGGUGGGUUGGGGGAAAAUACACCAAAUGUUAAGAUAUGGGCUAUAGUUAGUGGUAAUAUUUUGAUGCUGCUCUUUCACAGCAGGUCUUGUUUCACACAAGGCAAGGUGGUGAUGUACGGGAGCCCUAUAUGAUAUGCAUGCUUGUUUUGUAAAUUCGCAACUUGUAUCGUAUACUUCUUGUUUUUGUAUGUGUGUGUAUGAAUGAUAGACUUCAAUAAAAAUUUUAUCAAU
RNAcentral lists this long non-coding RNA (1343 nucleotides) under Dasypus novemcinctus (nine-banded armadillo). RNAcentral describes it as "lncRNA (ENSDNOG00000050243.1)". Lineage: Eukaryota; Metazoa; Chordata; Mammalia; Cingulata; Dasypodidae. The record is from RNAcentral.